AGAAUCAACGCUGGCGGCGUGCCUAACACAUGCAAGUCGAACGAGAAAGUGGAGCAAUCCAUGAGUAAAGUGGCGACCGGGUGAGUAACACGUGACUAACCUACCUUCGAGUGGGGGAUAACCUCGGGAAACCGAGGCUAAUACCGCAUAACAUCGCAAGAUCAAAGCAGCAAUGCGCUGGAAGAGGGGGGUCGCGGCUGAUUAGCUAGUUGGCGGGGUAAUGGCCCACCAAGGCGAAGAUCGGUAGCCGGCCUGAGAGGGCGCACGGCCACACUGGAACUGAAACACGGUCCAGACUCCUACGGGAGGCAGCAGUGGGGAAUUUUGCGCAAUGGGGGAAACCCUGACGCAGCAACGCCGCGUGGAGGAUGAAGCCCCUUGGGGUGUAAACUCCUUUCGACCAAGACGAUAAUGACGGUACUGGUGGAAGAAGCACCGGCUAACUCUGUGCCAGCAGCCGC
This 461-nucleotide ribosomal RNA is filed under the name uncultured bacterium. Its description in RNAcentral is "SSU rRNA". It matches the Rfam family "Bacterial small subunit ribosomal RNA", at positions 26 to 518 of the family's 1533-position model. The record is from RNAcentral.